UACGUAGGGCGCAAGCGUUAUCCGGAAUUAUUGGGCGUAAAGAGCUCGUAGGCGGUUUGUCGCGUCCGUUGUGAAAACUCGAGGCUCAACCUCGGGCUUGCAGUGGAUACGGGCAGACUAGAGUGCGGUAGGGGAGACUGGAAUUCCUGGUGUAGCGGUGGAAUGCGCAGAUAUCAGGAGGAACACCGAUGGCGAAGGCAGGUCUCUGGGCCGCAACUGACGCUGAGGAGCGAAAGCGUGGGGAGCGAACAGG
RNAcentral lists this ribosomal RNA (253 nucleotides) under uncultured bacterium. RNAcentral describes it as "partial 16S ribosomal RNA". It matches the Rfam family "Bacterial small subunit ribosomal RNA", at positions 524 to 776 of the family's 1533-position model. The record is from RNAcentral.